AACGAACGCUGGCGGCAUGCCUAACACAUGCAAGUCGAACGAGACCUUCGGGUCUAGUGGCGCACGGGUGCGUAACGCGUGGGAACCUGCCCUUAGGUUCGGAAUAACUCCCCGAAAGGGGUGCUAAUACCGGAUAAUGUCUUCGGACCAAAGAUUUAUCGCCUUUGGAUGGGCCCGCGUUGGAUUAGCUAGUUGGUAGGGUAAAAGCCUACCAAGGCGACGAUCCAUAGCUGGUCUGAGAGGAUGAUCAGCCCCACUGGGACUGAGACACGGCCCAGAAUCCUACGGGAGGCAGCAGUGGGGAAUAUUGGACAAUGGGCGAAAGCCUGAUCCAGCAAUGCCGCGUGAGUGAUGAAGGCCUUAGGGUUGUAAAGCUCUUUUACCCGGGAUGAUAAUGACAGUACCGGGAGAAUAAGCUCCGGCUAACUCCGUG
RNAcentral lists this ribosomal RNA (433 nucleotides) under uncultured bacterium. Its description in RNAcentral is "partial 16S ribosomal RNA". It matches the Rfam family "Bacterial small subunit ribosomal RNA", at positions 29 to 507 of the family's 1533-position model. The record is from RNAcentral.